Molecule: ribosomal RNA, 460 nt
Filed under: uncultured bacterium
Lineage: Bacteria
Description: partial 16S ribosomal RNA
Rfam family: Bacterial small subunit ribosomal RNA
Source: RNAcentral
CCUACGGGAGGCAGCAGUGAGGAAUAUUGGUCAAUGGACGAGAGUCUGAACCAGCCACGCAGCGUGAAGGAUGACUGCCUUAUGGGUUGUAAACUUUUUUUAUAUGGGAAUAAAAUGUUCCACGUGUGGGAUUUUGUAUGUACCAUAUGAAUAAGGAUCGGCGAACUCUGUGUCAGCAGCCGCGGUAAUACGGAGGAUCCGAGCGUUAUCCGGCUUUAUUGGGUUUAAAGGGAGCGUAGGUGGAUUGUUAAGUCAGUUGGGAAAGUUUGCGGCUCAACCGUAAAAUUGCAGUUGAAACUGGUAAGCUUGAGUACAGUAGAGGUGAGCGGAAUUCGUGGUGUAGCGGUGAAAUGCUUAGAUAUCACGAAGAACUCCGGUUGCGAAGGCAGAUCACUGGAUUGCAACUGACACUGAGGCUCGAAAGUGUGGGUAGCAAACAGGAUUAGAUACCCCUGUAGUC